UCUUCGAUGGCGAAAUGGUCACCGCGCCUGGCUGUUAUGGCUUUCCCUAUUACCAGGAGAUUCUCAGUUCAAGUCUGAGUCGAAGAG
Bisporella sp. PMI_857 is the source of this 87-nucleotide non-coding RNA. NCBI's taxonomy places the organism in Eukaryota, Fungi, Ascomycota, Leotiomycetes, Helotiales, Helotiaceae. The record is from the annotation of a GenBank genome assembly.